Molecule: ribosomal RNA, 483 nt
Filed under: uncultured Anaerotruncus sp.
Lineage: Bacteria; Bacillati; Bacillota; Clostridia; Eubacteriales; Oscillospiraceae
Description: bacterial SSU rRNA
Rfam family: Bacterial small subunit ribosomal RNA
Source: RNAcentral
GUAGUUGACUCCGUGGCUCGAGACGACGCUGGCGGCACGCCUAACACAUGCAAGUCGAACGGAGUGAAGAUGCUCGCAUCUGAACUUAGUGGCGGACGGGUGAGUAACACGUGAGCAACCUGCCUUUCAGAGGGGGAUAACGUUUGGAAACGAACGCUAAUACCGCAUAAAAUAUCGGAGUCGCAUGGCACUGAUAUCAAAGGAGCAAUCCGCUGAAAGAUGGGCUCGCGUCCGAUUAGGCAGUUGGCGGGGUAACGGCCCACCAAACCGACAAUCGGUAGCCGGACUGAGAGGUUGAACGGCCACAUUGGGACUGAGACACGGCCCAGACUCCUACGGGAGGCAGCAGUGGGGGAUAUUGCACAAUGGGGGAAACCCUGAUGCAGCGAUGCCGCGUGAAUGAAGACGGCCUUCGGGUGUAAAGUUCUGUCGCAGGGGACGAAAAUGACGGUACCCUGCAAGAAAGCUCCGGCUAACUACGUG